UUCUUAUACACAUCAUUUAAAGGCUUUUCCUCUUUAUAAAUUUUUUUUGUGUGUUAAUUUUUGAUGAGAGUGCAGUAGCAGUUUAUAAUGCUAUGGUUGGCAUUUAAGAUGAAUAGUGGCUGAUGAACUAUUAAAAGAUACACUUCUCAUUUAUGUUUCAAGAGGAAGGUAUUAUAUAAUUGUCAUCUUUAAGUAAGAGGGAAAGUAUUGGGAGUAUUUUCUGUGUAGUCUCUGUGCUAUUUAGCGUUUCAUUUCGAUGGUUAAAUGGCAUUCUCUGGCUGUCCAGGUCAUAUGGCAGUUUCCAACAUCUGAAAGGCAUUACGGGAAAUACUGUGCAGCCCUAUUAGGAAGGUGCUGAAUGUGUCUGAGAUACGACUCACUCCGUAGUGGGAGGGAACAUUGCUCAGCAGCUUCCCGGCUGCCUGAAAGCCAGAGUGAUUUCUGAGUCCCCAUUCAGUUCUCUAUCCAUUUCUUAAUCCAAUUCCUUUCCAUUUCAAGGAGGAAAGUCAAGAUAUCUUUACUCAGUGGAAGAAUGAUGUAGUUUCCUCCUAACCUUCUUUUCUUAUGCUUCCAGAUGCCCUCUGGAAGGUUACGAUGGGAAUGAGCCUGACGACUUGGACGGUUUCCCCGACUUGUUGCCUCUGCCCGCAAGUUUGUCCUUCGGAAGUCAGGAAAGUGCUGCGCGUGGUGGUGGCCUCCCAGGAACAAGGCGU
Molecule: long non-coding RNA, 713 nt
Filed under: Capra hircus (goat)
Lineage: Eukaryota; Metazoa; Chordata; Mammalia; Artiodactyla; Bovidae
Description: lncRNA (ENSCHIG00010023563.1)
Source: RNAcentral